AUAAAUUUUAGUGUUAAUUUUAUUAUAUUUUAAUAAUAUUUUAAUAAUAAAAUUAGUAAUUAAUAUUAAAUAUUUAAGAAAUUAAUAUUUAGUAAUAUUAAAAUUAAUAACAAAUUUUGUGCCAGCAGUUGCGGUUAUACAAAAAUUAAAUUAAAUUUUAUUAGUUAAUAAUUAGUGAAUAUUAUGUUUAAAUAAAAUAAAAAUAUUAAAUUAUUAAGUGAAAUUUUAAUUUAUUAAAAUAUUAUUUGAAAUUUAUGAAUUUAUUAAAUUUUAUAAAAAACUAGGAUUAGAUACCCUAUUAUUAAAAUUUAAAUUUAAAAUAUUAAAGUAGUAGGUAAUUUUUUAUUGAAAUUUAAAUGAAUUGGCGGUAUUUUAGUUCAUUUAGAGGAAUCUGUUUAAUAAUUGAUAAUCCACGAAUAAAUUUACUUAAUUUAUAAUUUUGUAUAUCGUUGUUUAAAAAUAUUUUUUUAUAAAAAUAAUAUUUAAUAUUUAAUAUUUAAAGUUAAAUCAGAUCAAGAUGCAGAGCAUAAUUAAGAAUAUAAUGGAUUACAAUAAAUUUAUUUAAUAUGGAUUAUAAUUUGGAAUAAUUAUAUAAAGGUGGAUUUAAAUGUAAUUUUAUUUAAUUUAAUAAAAUGAUUAAAAAUUAAAAUAUGUACAUAUUGCCCGUCGCUUUCAUAUGUAAAUAAAUUAAUUUAUAUAAAUAAGUUAAAUAUUAGAUAAAAAUUGAAAUAAGUCGUAACAAAGUAGAGGUACUGGAAAGUGUUUCUAGAAAGAC
Molecule: non-coding RNA, 775 nt
Filed under: Pida apicalis
Lineage: Eukaryota; Metazoa; Arthropoda; Insecta; Lepidoptera; Erebidae
Source: RNAcentral